AGUGAACGCUGGCGGCGUGCUUAACACAUGCAAGUCGAACGAGAACGGAUUAUAGCUUGCUAUAAUUGUCAGCUAAGUGGCGCACGGGUGAGUAAUGUAUAGGUAAUAUGCCUCUUACUAAGGGAUAACAAAUGGAAACGUUUGCUAAUACCUUAUACUCCUUAUUAACAGAAGUUAAUAAGGGAAAGAUUUAUUGGUAAGAGAUUAGCCUGUAUUGUAUCAGUUAGUUGGUGGGGUAAUGGCUUACCAAGACUAUGACACAUAACUGGUUUGAGAGGAGGAUCAGUCACACUGGAACUGAGACACGGUCCAGACUCCUACGGGAGGCAGCAGUGGGGAAUAUUGCACAAUGGACGAAAGUCUGAUGCAGCAACGCCGCGUGGAGGAUGACACAUUUCGGUGCGUAAACUCCUCUUAUAUGAGAAGAUAAUGACGGUAUUAUAUGAAUAAGCACCGGCUAACUCCGUGCCAGCCGCCGCCGCGG
RNAcentral lists this ribosomal RNA (484 nucleotides) under uncultured bacterium. Its description in RNAcentral is "partial 16S ribosomal RNA". It matches the Rfam family "Bacterial small subunit ribosomal RNA", at positions 29 to 523 of the family's 1533-position model. The record is from RNAcentral.